Molecule: ribosomal RNA, 253 nt
Filed under: uncultured bacterium
Lineage: Bacteria
Description: partial 16S ribosomal RNA
Rfam family: Bacterial small subunit ribosomal RNA
Source: RNAcentral
UACGUAGGGUCCUAGCGUUGUCCGGAAUUAUUGGGCGUAAAGAGCUUGUAGGCGGUUUGUCGCGUCUGCUGUGAAAUUUCGGGGCUCAACCCCGAACUUGCAGUGGGUACGGGCAGACUAGAGUGUGGUAGGGGAGACUGGAAUUCCUGGUGUAGCGGUGAAAUGCGCAGAUAUCAGGAGGAACACCGAUGGCGAAGGCAGGUCUCUGGGCAUUAACUGACGCUGAGGAGCGAAAGCAUGGGGAGCGAACAGG